AAAGGUGGAGGGGGCCAUAGCAGAAGCAUUCAUGUUGUGACCCCUGCCAGAUAACACCUGUAAUAACUACAAAUUCUGCU
RNAcentral lists this ribozyme (80 nucleotides) under Crocodylus porosus (Australian saltwater crocodile). RNAcentral's name for it is "Mammalian CPEB3 ribozyme (ENSCPRG00005018341.1)". It matches the Rfam family "Mammalian CPEB3 ribozyme". From Rfam's summary of the family: The mammalian CPEB3 ribozyme is a self cleaving RNA located in the second intron of the CPEB3 gene which belongs to a family of genes regulating messenger RNA polyadenylation. This ribozyme is highly conserved and found only in mammals. The record is from RNAcentral. Lineage: Eukaryota; Metazoa; Chordata; Crocodylia; Crocodylidae.